CUAACCAGGCCUGGCAGGGUUAUCUGCUUCAUUUCUGCCUGACCAGAAGCAGAAGUGCAAUAAAGAUGUGCAUCCCUUCAUGGUUCUGCAAGCAUGUCUGACACAGCAGGUCACAAACAAAUAGAUGGCGACUGCGAUUGGAAAGCCUGACAAACGUGGCUGAGGAAAGUGUAAGCACAGAAAGCUGUUUCAGGGAGACAGGCGAGAUGACAAUGGAGUCCUUUCUUUCCACCAGUGAGCUAUCACUUCAAAUCUCUUCUACUGCCCACCUUCGCAUCCAGCUCCAAGAAGUCUGCGCGACUGGAUUAAGGACAAACUAAAAGGCAAAAAUUGUGGUUUUGAACAUGUGUACAUAAAGCACAAUCAACACAAUUCAGUUGCACUACUCAGGAAUAAACAGAUGCAGAAUUUAUAAACAACGGAACAGAGGAUGAUACAAUUUUUCUAAUGAAGAUUUCACCACAAUUUCUAUACAUGGUACUUGCAUGAAUGUAUGUAUUUGUGUCUAAAAAUCUGUAACAAAUGAUCUCACCGUUUCUUAAGGACUGUGUCUGGAGCGUUAAAUGUUGCUCAGGAAAGGGUCAGGUAGUUUUUAUACCAAUUUUUUAUACCUGUGUUUGCCAAGUCUAAACCCUUAUCUCCACCUACGUGCUUAGUUUAGUUUUCCUCUUAGGCGAGAACACAAGUCCUUGACUUGAUCUUUCCAACAUCUGUGACAUUCACUGAAAUUAAAAGAUCUUGUACCAACAGUGCAGUACCC
Long non-coding RNA from Anguilla rostrata (American eel), 760 nucleotides. RefSeq lists it as uncharacterized. The record is from RefSeq and is a predicted model, not a curated record. The transcript has 2 exons. Lineage: Eukaryota; Metazoa; Chordata; Actinopteri; Anguilliformes; Anguillidae.